ACCUAACCCAUCUUCAGUUCAAAAAAAAAAAAAAAAACCCUAGUUUCUCUCAACUCUCAACACAUCCAGUCCGGCCGACAUCAUCCAGUUCCACCGUCACAUCCCUCAUCCGCCGACAUCACCGUCCGCCGCAGGCCGCCACUCCACCAGCAUCACCGUCCGCCGUAUAGCCGCUCCACCGUAGUGCCGUACAGCCGCUCCACCUUAGUGCCGUACAACCGCUCCACCGGGUUUGACCCUGUACAAGCGAUAAGUGAAUGGGCUGGAUUUGACCCUGUACAAGGUUUGGUCUACCAAGCUAGUUAUGGACCUUUCAUAUAUUUUAGUGGGCUACUGAUAAGCGAAUGGGCUGGAUUUGACCCUGUACAAGGUUUGGUCUACCGAGCCAGGUUGGGCUUGAAUAUUGUUGUGUGAAAUCAGUAAACCGUCGUAAACAGAGGACUAUGCACCGGGUGUGGGUUCAUGGGAAGUUCCAAAAACCCAUGUCAUCUGUUCCAUCAGUUUGUUGCUGUUCAAUCACAAUUGAUGACUACAAGAAGUAAAAUACUGAUUAAAGACGUGGUCUGUAAAUCAACACAAAGCAAGAAGAUAAUUGGAAACUACUGCUAACUGCUGCAAUAUGGGAGCGUAGAGAAAGAUAGGGGAGUGGAGUUAUUUCAAGGGAGUGAGGAGUUUACAGGGAACUGCUGAGAACUGCCAAGAUAGCAGUUAAUUUUGUGAGUCGUGGAGUGGAGAUAGUGGGCAGCAAAAGGUGGAGGUAACCACCCGCUUCAAAAACCGACCAUAACCUCCGGGAACCGCCAUUAGAGUGGUUAUUUUUGGGAAUUUAAACAGCUGAGAUUUCAUCUCAGCAUGAUCCUACGGUGAAUAUUGAUUUGCAAAACGGUUAGACUUAAUGGGU
RNAcentral lists this long non-coding RNA (901 nucleotides) under Helianthus annuus (common sunflower). Lineage: Eukaryota; Viridiplantae; Streptophyta; Magnoliopsida; Asterales; Asteraceae. The record is from RNAcentral.